CCUACGGGAGGCAGCAGUGGGGAAUUUUGGACAAUGGACGCAAGUCUGAUCCAGCCAUGCCGCGUGCGGGAAGAAGGCCUUCGGGUUGUAAACCGCUUUUGUCAGGGAAGAAAAGGUUCUGGUUAAUACCUGGGACUCAUGACGGUACCUGAAGAAUAAGCACCGGCUAACUACGUGCCAGCAGCCGCGGUAAUACGUAGGGUGCAAGCGUUAAUCGGAAUUACUGGGCGUAAAGCGUGCGCAGGCGGUUAUGCAAGACAGAGGUGAAAUCCCCGGGCUCAACCUGGGAACUGCCUUUGUGACUGCAUAGCUAGAGUACGGUAGAGGGGGAUGGAAUUCCGCGUGUAGCAGUGAAAUGCGUAGAUAUGCGGAGGAACACCGAUGGCGAAGGCAAUCCCCUGGACCUGUACUGACGCUCAUGCACGAAAGCGUGGGGAGCAAACAGGAUUAGAUACCCUGGUAGUCCACGCCCUAAACGAUGUCAACUGGUUGUUGGGAGGGUUUCUUCUCAGUAACGUAGCUAACGCGUGAAGUUGACCGCCUGGGGAGGUACGGCCGCGAGUAGAACGACAAUAGAGUAGAGGCGUGAGACGUGACGACGGACGACGACGAGGGAGGAGG
Molecule: ribosomal RNA, 621 nt
Filed under: uncultured bacterium
Lineage: Bacteria
Description: bacterial SSU rRNA
Rfam family: Bacterial small subunit ribosomal RNA (bases 1-542)
Source: RNAcentral